AUACGGAGGGUGCAAGCGUUGUUCGGAAUCACUGGGCGUAAAGGGCGCGCAGGCGGUUUGGUAAGUCAGAUGUGAAAGCCCACGGCUCAACCGUGGAAGCGCAUUUGAAACUGCCAGACUUGAGUACCAGAGGGGAAAGUGGAAUUCCCGGUGUAGAGGUGAAAUUCGUAGAUAUCGGGAGGAAUACCGGUGGCGAAGGCGACUUUCUGGCUGGAUACUGACGCUGAGGCGCGAAAGCGUGGGGAGCAAACAGGAUUAGAAACCCCAGUAGUCC
Molecule: ribosomal RNA, 274 nt
Filed under: uncultured bacterium
Lineage: Bacteria
Description: partial 16S ribosomal RNA
Rfam family: Bacterial small subunit ribosomal RNA
Source: RNAcentral